AGGACGGACGCUAGCGGCGUGCCUAAGGUAUGCAAGUCGAACGGGGGCCGUUCUUCGGAGCGGCUCUAGUGGCGAACGGUCGAGUAACACGUAGACAACCUGCCUCCAAGUGGGGGAUAACAGCGGGAAACUGCUGCUAAUACCGCAUGUGGCCCCGAGUGGCAUCGCUCGGAAGCUAAAGGAUUUAUUCGCUUGGAGAUGGGUCUGCGGCCUAUCAGGUAGUUGGUGGGUAACGGCCUACCAAGCCGUCGACGGGUAGCUGGUCUGAGAGGAUGAUCGAGCCGGACGGGGACUGAGACACGGCCCCGACUCCGUUCGGGAGCAGCAAUGAGAUAUGCGCAGUCGGGGAAACCUGACGCAGCGACGCGCGGUGGUGAGGAAGUCC
RNAcentral lists this ribosomal RNA (385 nucleotides) under uncultured soil bacterium. Its description in RNAcentral is "bacterial SSU rRNA". It matches the Rfam family "Bacterial small subunit ribosomal RNA", at positions 26 to 416 of the family's 1533-position model. The record is from RNAcentral.